Cavia porcellus (domestic guinea pig) is the source of this 2108-nucleotide long non-coding RNA. RefSeq lists it as uncharacterized. The record is from RefSeq and is a predicted model, not a curated record. Lineage: Eukaryota; Metazoa; Chordata; Mammalia; Rodentia; Caviidae. The transcript has 3 exons.
UGUGACUCACCUGGCUGAGGGACCUGGCGCUGCAGCCAAGGGAAGCGAUAGCAAAGCCUGGAAGCUGUGCCUUGCUCAGGGCUUCCCUGAAGCACCAGAAGGGGUACUGGAGGAGUCCAGCCUGCCCUCCUGUGUUGCUAGCUGGAAGGGCAGUGGUUCUUCCUUGUGCGUCAGGUCCAAGGAGCUGGGCUGCGCCUUUGGGAAAGAUCAGACAAGGCAUUGGCCUUGCCAGAGGCAGGAAGCUAAAGCGCAGAGUUCUGGUGGCCUCCCGUUCAGCUGUUCACCAGGACAAGGAGUGGAAGGAAUGGAAACAUUUGCAAAACCAAGCCAGAUCAUGAGGGUGCCUUUGCUGGCAGUGAGGAUGAUUGCGGUGGCCCAGUGGCCCAGAAAGGAGCAAGUUCCCCUGGAUAGAGUUACAGAGUCAGGCCUGUGCCAAUGAGGAUGCACAAGCAGUAAGAAAAGAGCUUUGCAGGGAGGAGCAGCCAGUGGCUUCUGCACCCUGCAGCCCAGUGUUACACCCCUGGCUCCUCAACACCAGGAAGUUCUAUGGGUCAGGCGGAGGAGCCAGGAGUGAGUGCCUCUCGGGAUGUGGCCAAGUCUGAGUGAGACUGGCCAGCAAAGAAUAAGGUCUCCGAAUCCACCGGAGCCUCAGUUGCCUUGCUGGGCUUGCUGGCUGCCUGGCUUCUAGGAGCAGAGGAGGCUACAGAGCAGCGAGGCUGCACUACAACCACCAGAACCACCUUUCGGCCCAAAGGAACAUUGGACGCUACCACCUACCAGCGACGUGACCCUGAGCAAAUUGCCAGUGCCCUAUUUCUGCCUCUGCAGCUAGGGCAGGUUCCCAGAAGAUGAAAGGGAGAAGGAAACUUACCUGUGCGAAGAAGGACAGUUGGACUCUGCACAGUUCCCAGGAUGCGAGAGUGAGAGGGUGGACAUGGCGAAGCUGGAGUGUUGCUUCCUGAACCUCAGGGACACAGAGCCAGUGUCACACUGUACCCUCAGGGCACAGCUCCAGGUGCUUCAUCCUCCUGUGAGGAUCCUUACGUGGGGAGCUGAGAGCCUGCCAGGGUCACCUUCAGAUUGCCUUCCCGAACCCUGUCUCCUUCGCUGUCUCCUGCCCCAUACAUUUCAUUGGCUGGUCAGUGUAGGGACACCUGCACAAGCUGGUCUGCUAUUCACCAGGUUCAAAAAAAUUUGCAUGGAACUUUCCUUUCACCUCCACUGUUUGUUACAAAAUGGGGGAAACCAGAGGUCCUUUGUCUCAGGAGCAACCCUGAGCAGGUUUGGGUUUCGGAUCCAUCAGAAUUCUGUCCUGCAGAUGAUGCUCCUGAGCAUUCUGUUAGUCACAAGUACUUUGACAGGCAGGAUGAUGACCAUCGAAUGGGUAGCCAAGUAACGGAGACCUUUGCUAUAGAGAUGAUUAGAAAUAAAGCCCCAACUGUCCCAUCUACCUGGAUGCAGACCUCUCUCACAGCAGGCCGAUGGCUUCUUGAGAUCUGAGGAGUGCAGCUCGUCUCCUGGAGCCUGGUUUCUACACACUCUUCAUCCUUGGCCAGCUGCAGAGCAGUGGAUAUCUCUCCUGUGAUGCUCCCCCUCACCUGACAUUUGUGGGCUGCAGCCUCUUGCCAUUUAAUGCAUAGAUGGCAGCAAUCAGCAUAUGGAAUGGGCUGCUAAUAUAAGAACAGCGAAACGAAGAAAGGAGAUGAGCAUGUUAUAGAGCUGAGCUGGCCUCUGGGCAGAGGAUAGCGUCCCUGGGUAGGGCUGGUCAGCUGUCUCUGCUACUGAACAAAGGAGACGGAAAGAGUUUUAACAGGCUGUAGUAUCACAAGGUCCCUCCUGCCACUUCUCAUAUACACACAGAACCAGAAAGGGAAGGGGCAGAAGGAAUAAACUGGGCUUGGGAUGCUGGUCUGCUUCUCUGUUUCCCCACGAAUCUGAAGGUCACACACUGUGCUGAGUCCUGGCCCUGUCUUCCUUGCUGAAGGGCUUUCCAUUGUAUGUCAUCCACUGGUGGUGUUCAGGCUUAGUCCUCCUGAAUUAUCACUCUAAAAUUCUAUGACAACUAGAUCUUUGCUGAGUGUUGUCACUACAAGGCAGUUAAGGUGCAA